RNAcentral lists this long non-coding RNA (5637 nucleotides) under Carica papaya (papaya). RNAcentral's name for it is "long non-coding RNA (CPAP_LNC012499)". The record is from RNAcentral. Lineage: Eukaryota; Viridiplantae; Streptophyta; Magnoliopsida; Brassicales; Caricaceae.
GAAACUGAAUUUCUUCCUUCACCAACAAAUGAAAAGUAACAACGAGAUUUUUAUAAGAUUCAAUAUUAAUCAUAAAAUGCAAAAUAUAAAAUAAGAAUCAUACAAAACAACUAACAAAACUUUUUUCUGCAAGUUAAAAAAAUAUAUCGAUUAUAAGUAAGAUUCUCAGUCAACGGAAUAGCUAAGCUUCAGUUAUUUAGUUGACCAUAUAUGUAAGGAUUAGUUUUAUUUAAAAUGCAGUAAAUCAGAUAUAGUUAUUGAAAAUAUUCCAACUACUAAUCCUUUCUUAAUCUUAAACCAACCAAGAAACGUUCAUUAACUAACUUUCGCUGAACAAACACUCUUGAGCACUUUCUCAGGAUUUAAUCUAUCAACGGCCUUGGGAAUUAGAAGAACCUGAUUCAGGCUGUCGAAUUCAUCUGCGUGAACCAGUUAGAUAGAUUACUUACCUCUUCAGUGUGACACUGAUCGCCACUGGUUACUAAUAUUGCUUAAAAAGUACGAAUUUGAAUGGUUCAGCUAGCUGCUUGCUGUUUUGUCUCGCGUCCAACGAGCCUUGUUCAAACUGAUUCAAAGACAACAAAUAUAUAUAUAUAUAUAUAGAUAUACAGAAAGUAAAUAAAUACCAUAAUUGAAAUAAAACUUAGAUUAACUCAAUUUGAUCUCACAAUACCUCAAUGGAGUUUGCUAAAUUUGUUAACUAGGAAGAGGAAAUAAAUCAGCUACAUAUGGUGGGCUUCAAUACAAAAUAAGUUUCUUAAGUUUUGAAAAGGUGAAAGAGAAGAAGAUGAAGGGCAGAAGCCAUAUAUGCUGUUACGUGCGAAGUUAGGAAGAAAAUGGAUGACGUUGAUUCCAUUUUGCAGCCUGCCUUUUGUACCCCAAAAAGGCUAGGGUUUCUUCUUUCUUUGAUUAAGAUAUUUCCUAAUGAUUUUGGCUCACUUUUGGCUUUCUAAAAUAAUCUUUUCUUAAUUUUUGGUUCUCAGAUCUCGGCUGGAAUGAGAUUUUUUCAUAUUCAAAAAAUGCAAAUUUUUCUUCAAGUUGGCUGCUGUGUGGACACAAGCCUUGGCCAAGGCUUAUUUCAGUUAUCCAGGGGGUUUGUGAGCUUAUAUGCUGCCUUAAACUUGCUCGAGGCUUGCUUGUCUGGGAGUAAAACCUAUUGAUAUCUGCUAGAUCCAAGCCUUGCUUGAGGCUUAUUUAUAGUAUAAUGACUUGUUUCACAAACUCUUCUUUUUUUUAUGAUGUUUUUCCUUAUCUCAUCCUUAUCUUCUAUCAUGCAACAAAAUAUAGAAAAUAGUUUGGAUUAAAUAGCACUUUAUCAAAUUGAUAACUCAAAAGUGGAAAAUAAGGAUGUUGUUUUUAUGCACUAUCAAAUUCUCCCACACUUAUCUUGUGUUUGCCCUCAAGCACAACACAAUACAAAUAUCUAACUCUCCCCCUUCUCUUUCAACUCAUCUAUUCCCAAUUAUUCCAUCACAACUCACCUAUUACCUCUUAAUUCUCAAGUUGUAAAAAUGACAAUCAACUAGUAGUUUGUAGGUUUGAGUUUCAUAUAAUUAUACAAUGAAUAGCCACUUUGAAUAAUAUCCAAACACGACAUGAAAAAGUUUUACAAAUUUUAGCACACAAAAUUUCAUUGAAAGGAAUAACUAACACCCAGUAGAAUAGCCACCAAACCUACCUAGAUAUAGUAAUUUCAUGCAUUUGGUUCAUGCUAAAAAAACAAAAAAAAAUCGAUUUGUAGCUAACUUGAGCACUUUUAUUACUUGCUUAAAAUGUCACUACCCUUUUAAUACGAUGGCAAAUAUUUGUGAUGAAUGCACCUAUUUACUUAAUUGGUCACAGAUUCAAGUGGUUACUAGUGCUACUCAUAGUCAUUUAACUUAAAAUAUUACUAACAUUUUGACAUGAGGAAAAACAUUUGUGAUGAAUGCACCUAGUUACUCAGUUGGCCACAAUUUCAUUUGACUAGAGGAGUAAAUCAUUAUUUGUGCUCCCCUUUUUUUCAUAUUUUCUAAUCUUAGACAUGAACCAUAAUUUUAGACACAAAAAUCCAAGCAAGUUAUAAUAGAGUUCUUCUUAAGCAUUUGUAUUCACUCAAAAAUAAGAAAAAAUCAACUUUUAAAGGCAAUCCACAAACAGGUCAUGUUUAAGACAAAUAAUAAAAAAUAAUUAUUCAUAAUGUUGAAAGAUAAAAAGCAAGCUAAAAAUUCAUAGAGGAUGGUUGUAGUUACCAUUCACUUUUUGGAAUAUCAAAAUUGGAUUAUUUUAUGAAUAACUGAGAUAGUUGUGCAAUAGUUUGGGCAAGAGUUGUUGAAAGUGUAAUUGUGGUGUGCAUUGGCCAAGGUUAAAGUGUAAUUGUGGUGUGCCUUGGGCAAGGUUAAAGUGUGCAUCAGCGAGUGUCAUAAAAAAAAUUUAAACAUAGCAUAAGCAAUGCAACAAAAUCUCAAAGAAAACCUAAAAAGUAGCAUGUUCCGUCCCCAUAUUUAAAUUACACAUUGUCGCCAAUGUGAUGCAAAUCAAGUAAGAUAUAAAGAAGAAAAUAGGAAUAUAUAACAUAAUAGAAAUAAUAAUAAAAUGAAAAGUAAAAAGAGAGAAAAAGGGAUAGAAGACUCCCCUGGGAUUCAUUUGGUGCAGAGACGUGUUGAUGCGCACCUGGAUUGAGUUAUCAACUAUGUCAGGGCCUUAACUUUCUCAUUCAAUUUAUGUAAAUAUUGCUUGAUGGAGUGUAGGUUGCCAUCAAUCACUCAUAUGUGCAGCAGGGUGUGGUCCAUGAAUGUUAGGCAUUUUCUCUGCUUGCUGUAUACUCUUGUGUCUCGGGGCACCAACAACCUAGGUGGUGCAAAGCAGGGGAAGCCAUCGUUUACUUCCAAGAUGCCCAUGUCGUCUAAGGAUCGAAGAUUUAAAGGUGUUUGUGGCUAUGCAAGGUGCAUGUAUGUUUUAUCUAUGUCAACAUGGGUGGGGAAGAUAACAAUUCUAUUGAUAAUCAAGCCCAAGUUUAACAGUCGCUAGAAUGAGAGGACGUUGGUGAAUUAUGAGGCGAACCAGUAUCCCAAGUUCACCCGACGUCACUGUAACAUGCACCAUAGAAAAUAUACUUCGGUUUUAGAUACAAUGUUUGGUGCAUACAUGCAACCCAAAAAGGAAUACAGGAACUGAUGAAUGUACUUUAUGUAAGGGUCGUGGAGGUAGAGGUCCUUGAACUUGCUGGGGUCAUAUGAAGUAGGGGGGUCUUCACAGAGUUUGUCGUAGAUGGUGACAGACUCGAAAUCAUCAUAGAAAUCACAAUAUGGGUGUUCAGCCACCCCCUCAGAAAAUCCCGAGGCAUCAUUGAACUGCGUGAUGAAAAAAUGGAAACGUUUGCCCUGCAGAUAGUAGGAAAUGUUAUUUGGGGUGUGGAGGUUGAAAUGAGUGGGUUUGUGAAAUUGGAAGGUUUUGUAGAAUUUCUUAGCUAGUUCUACGCAGGCUGGUAUGCCAACGAUAAAAAAGUUUUCCCAAUUGAUGACACAUCAGUUUCAGGACACCAGUUUUGAUGUAAAGGGUUUCGAGAGCGGGAUCGUGAACAGACUUACUUAGUAUAAUCAAAAGCUAUAAAUUUCUUCAUAUCUCUCUUUUUCCAGGUCAUCCUCAAAGACAAGAUGCCCCUGGAGUUCAAAUUCAGUGGCCUGGUGGAUGGGUUGCCUUUUCUAGACUCGAGCUCGCUUAUUUAACCUUCCGGAAGUCUCAUCUUCUUUGGUUGCGUCAAUGGCAGUGGGUGGUGGUUGAUUUGCAUGUUCGAUUUUUUGACUAGGUCCAGCUUUGUGAGUGGUGGUUUUCUACGAAAGAGAGUCAUAAAUGCCAAUAACGAGGCUGCCAGGUGCUGAGGAGGCCGUGGUGGAGCUACUCACUCCAGUUGGUGAAGGUCGCUCUUUGUCGGGAACUUGCAGUGCGAAAGUCGUCGGUGUUUCUUGUGUCGUCGCCUCAGUGGUGUGACAACUUAUGAAGGGUCGAAGGCCACUAGUUUUUCAUGCAGAUCUCUUAUACCUCAUUUUUUUGGUGGUAGAACGGUUAGGGAUUAGGGAUGGUUAGACCUAGUGUAAUGGAGGAGAAAGAGGGAAGUUGGAAAGUGGAGAGGAGAGGUUGGCAGUGAAGGUGGGAAGUAAGGUUAGGGUUUUUCAUUGUUGAGGUUUGAUUUUCAAAAUAAGCAGAAGGUGUCAGUAGCCUAGGGCAAGGGUUGGGCGUAUUAGAAGAAUUUGUUUUUUGUUUACUUUCAUACACUUUGGGCAAGAACUUUAGAUGUGAGAGGACCUAGUCGGUUUAUGGGUUAUAAAUCAUAAACCUUGGGCAAGACUUAUGCAAAUCUUGCUAUUGGAGGCUAAACCAAGAGAGGUUUAUUGGUUGAGUAGGGGGUAGGAUCGUAAACCUUGGGCAACACUUACAUGGUAACCGAAGGUGAUCCCUUCCUGGCUUCUUGUUUUAGCCUUGGGUAAGACUUGUGUGCAUCUGAGGUGUAAGACUUGGGAAAGGUUUUCUCAGAAUCAUCAGAUCAUUGUUAUGGCUUAGGUGCCCUUACAACCUUUAGGCAAGGGUUGUGAGAGGGUCUUGGGCAGAGUGUUGUAGGGUUGGCCAUAAGCCUUGGCCAAGGUUUUGUGUGGUUAUCCAGUAUUCAGUUUUUCUGACUCUGCCACCUGAAUUCCUUAUUCCUACUCUAUAAUCAUCAAAGAAACUCCGAUUAACUUAGAAAAAAAUACUAUAAAUUUAUUACUAGUGCGAAUGACUAAAGUUGAAAGAAAAAAAAAAAGUAAAAGUGGAUGGGUUGCCUCCUAUUGAGCGCCCUCAUUUAUUGUCCAAGGCCAGACUAUUCUUUGCUAGCUAUGAAGGUGUUUUCCUCAAGAGGGUCCAAAGUGACUUCUUUGUUGUGUGGAAAACCCCUCAUUAAAAAGUUUAAGCUGGUGUCUGUUCACCUUGAAAAUUUUAUACAUGUCUAGGCUUUCAAUCUCGAUAGCAUCGUGAGGGAAAGUGUUGUUGAUAAUGAACGAAUCUAACCAUCUUUAUUGCAACGUUUCAAAAAUCUUGAGCUAGGACGUUCUACUAUAUUAAGAAGAUUUUAUCAUACUUGUAGAAUACCAUUCAUUAAUUAACGACCAUUUACCACUAAACGAACAGGGCCUUAGUGCCGAUACCCACUUACCUUUUCUUUCAAAUCGGUUUCACACCUCCCUCCUCUUGUUUCCAACCUUCGUCAAAUAAAACCUUUUCCCGCUUCCAGUCUCCACCAAACUAAGCCUCCUCCACUUCAACCCAUCAAAAAGCAAACCAAAUGAGAGGGAAGAGAGCUUGCACCAGGCGCGCCCGAUCCAAAAAUAGAUGGUCACGAAUGACCGAUGGGGCUGAAGAAAAUCCACAACCGCCUCUAGAAAAAGCCGAAUCCACCUUGUGACAUGGAUGGCUCAAUAAUGGUCGACCAACACCGCAGUUCCGCAACCGACUUGCUCGGCUCUCUAACUCGAGCACAAGGCGAGUAAAACCCUGAGAUAAGUCGUGCAAGGGAAGAAUCAGAGUCACAACAGCCUCGAACGGACAGACGUACGAGCGAAAGCAUGGGGACCAUACGGGCACGAAAGAAAGCAAGAGUAAAAAAAGGUAAACACAUUCCCCCAC